Molecule: long non-coding RNA, 434 nt
Filed under: Homo sapiens (human)
Lineage: Eukaryota; Metazoa; Chordata; Mammalia; Primates; Hominidae
Description: HSALNT0367623
Source: RNAcentral
AAGCUUUCUUUUUAUAGAGUAGUUUGGAAACACUCUGUCUGUAAAGUGUUCAAGCAGAUAUUUGGACCUCUUUCAGGCCUUCGUUGGAAACGGGAUUUCUUCAUAUAACGCUAGAAAGAAGAAUACUCAGUAACUUCUUAGUGUUGCCUCUAUUCAACUCACAGAGGUGAACUGUCCUUUAGACAGAGCAGAUGUGAAACCCUCUUUUUGUGAUAUUUGCAGGUGGAGAUUUCAAGCGCUUUUAGGCCAAAUGUAGAAAAGGAAAUAUCUUCGUAUAAAAACUAGACAGAAUCAUUCUCAGAAACUACUUUGUGAUGUGUGCGUUCAAUUCACAGAGUAUAACCUUUCUUUUGAUGGAGGAGUUUGGAGACACUGUCUUUGUAAAGUCUGCAAGUGGAUAUUUGGACCUCUUUGAGGCCUUCGUUGGAAACGGG